AGGACUUAUGACCAUGCUCAAGCUGAUGUUAUAUUCUCCAUGCAAUAGGGACAUGCUAGCUUUCAAUGCAUGCUCUGUCCAGAUAGCAUCAUAUAAGUAGGAAAAUCGCUAAUGGUCCAUAUCAACGCAGCCUUCAUUAUAAAAUUCUGCUUCUUUGAUGCAUCAAAAGUAUGAAUACCAUCGUACCAUAACAAUUUCAGCUUAUCAACAAGAGGACUUAGAUAUACAUCAAUACUUGGAUCAAAAUAUCGUGGUCCAGGAAUAACUAAUAUAAGAAAGAUGUUAUGUUCUUUCAUACACAUCUCAAUUGGC
RNAcentral lists this long non-coding RNA (312 nucleotides) under Elaeis guineensis (African oil palm). RNAcentral's name for it is "long non-coding RNA (EGUI_LNC011345)". Lineage: Eukaryota; Viridiplantae; Streptophyta; Magnoliopsida; Arecales; Arecaceae. The record is from RNAcentral.